UACAGAGACUGCAAGCGUUAUUCGGAUUCACUGGGCGUAAAGGGUGCGCAGGCGGCCGGGUGUGUCAGAUGUGAAAUCCCGAGGCUCAACCUCGGAACUGCGUCUGAAACUACUCGGCUAGAGUACUGGAGAGGGUAACGGAAUUCACGGUGUAGCAGUGAAAUGCGUAGAUAUCGUGAGGAACACCAGAGGCGAAGGCGGUUACCUGGACAGUUACUGACGCUCAGGCACGAAAGCAUGGGGAGCAAAA
Molecule: ribosomal RNA, 250 nt
Filed under: uncultured bacterium
Lineage: Bacteria
Description: partial 16S ribosomal RNA
Rfam family: Bacterial small subunit ribosomal RNA
Source: RNAcentral